UCCAAUGGAAACUAAACCCGCCAACUGG
RNAcentral lists this small RNA (28 nucleotides) under Bombyx mori (domestic silkworm). RNAcentral describes it as "ovarian small RNA-26600". The record is from RNAcentral. Lineage: Eukaryota; Metazoa; Arthropoda; Insecta; Lepidoptera; Bombycidae.